GGCUAUCAAUAUAAAGUACGAACUGACAAUAACUUCAACACAACUGCUUAUUUCUGUUGAAGAAACGAUAACUGUAUCAGAAGAUGACGAUGAUAAUGGUACGAGGUAUUCUUUUUGCCGUCCUACUGGUAGCUAGUCUUGUCGUGAUGAGCCAGUCGCUUCCUACUGAAAUCCCGACAGAACUUCCCUCUCCAACAACCCCGAGUCUUGCACCGUGUAGAAUUUUCCAAAUUCUCAAGUUCCUUCUUCCAGACCGAUGUAAAGGUUUCACUCUCACUAGGCCUCCUACUCCGGAGCCAACACCGAUUGUUUAACUAUAAUAUAUUCAUAGGCAUUCGGCAUUCAUGUUAAUUAUUGGUUUCUUGAUGAAAUGAUUGGUUUUAAAACUUAAAGAUAUAUCAUGUUUCAUGUUUCAAUUAAA
This is a long non-coding RNA of Magallana angulata, 421 nucleotides long. RefSeq lists it as uncharacterized. The record is from RefSeq and is a predicted model, not a curated record. NCBI's taxonomy places the organism in Eukaryota, Metazoa, Mollusca, Bivalvia, Ostreida, Ostreidae. The transcript is spliced from 3 exons.